This 253-nucleotide ribosomal RNA is filed under the name uncultured bacterium. RNAcentral's name for it is "partial 16S ribosomal RNA". It matches the Rfam family "Bacterial small subunit ribosomal RNA", at positions 524 to 776 of the family's 1533-position model. The record is from RNAcentral.
UACGGAGGGUGCAAGCGUUGUUCGGAUUUACUGGGCGUAAAGCGCGCGCAGGUGGAUGAACAAGUCGGAAGUGAAAUCUUGAGGCUCAACCUCGAGGCUGCUCCCGAAACUGUUCGUCUAGGGACUGGUAGAGGCUGGUAGAAUUCCCGGUGUAGCGGUGGAAUGCGUAGAGAUCGGGAGGAACACCAGCGGCGAAGGCGGCAAACUGGAUAGGCACUGACACUCAACAACGAAAGCGUGGGGAGCAAACAGG